UACGGAAGGGGCGAGCGUUGUUCGGAAUCAUUGGGCGUAAAGGGCGCGUAGGUGGUUCUGUAUGUCUACCGUGAAAGCGUACGGCUCAACCGUAUUUUGUCGGUAGAAACUGCAGGACUUGAGGCUGGGAGGGGCUGGUGGAAUUCCCUGUGUAGCGGUGAAAUGCGUAGAUAUUGGGAAGAACACCGGUGGCGAAGGCGGCGAGCUGGUCCAUUACUGACGCUGAGGCGCGACAGCGUGGGGAGCAAACAGG
Molecule: ribosomal RNA, 253 nt
Filed under: uncultured bacterium
Lineage: Bacteria
Description: partial 16S ribosomal RNA
Rfam family: Bacterial small subunit ribosomal RNA
Source: RNAcentral